GGUAAUAUACUUUAUGUAGAAGAUCUAGUUUGCAUCUAGAAAGAGGUAUUUAUACCUUUUACCA
This 64-nucleotide transfer RNA is filed under the name Plakobranchus cf. ocellatus HW-2015. Its description in RNAcentral is "tRNA-Ala". Lineage: Eukaryota; Metazoa; Mollusca; Gastropoda; Plakobranchidae. The record is from RNAcentral.